Molecule: transfer RNA, 77 nt
Filed under: Candidatus Moranbacteria bacterium RBG_13_45_13
Lineage: Bacteria; Candidatus Moraniibacteriota
Description: tRNA-Ile
Rfam family: tRNA
About the family: Transfer RNA (tRNA) molecules are approximately 80 nucleotides in length. Their secondary structure includes four short double-helical elements and three loops (D, anti-codon, and T loops). Further hydrogen bonds mediate the characteristic L-shaped molecular structure. tRNAs have two regions of fundamental functional importance: the anti-codon, which is responsible for specific mRNA codon recognition, and the 3' end, to which the tRNAs corresponding amino acid is attached (by aminoacyl-tRNA synthetases). tRNAs cope with the degeneracy of the genetic code in two manners: having more than one tRNA (with a specific anti-codon) for a particular amino acid; and 'wobble' base-pairing, i.e. permitting non-standard base-pairing at the 3rd anti-codon position.
Source: RNAcentral
GGGCGACUAGCUCAGUUGGUUAGAGCGCGUCACUGAUAAUGACGAGGUCGGAAGUUCGAAUCUUCCGUCGCCCACGA